UACGUAGGGUGCAAGCGUUAUCCGGAAUUAUUGGGCGUAAAGAGCUCGUAGGCGGUUUGUCGCGUCUGCUGUGAAAACUGGGGGCUCAACCCCCAGCCUGCAGUGGGUACGGGCAGACUAGAGUGCGGUAGGGGAGAUUGGAAUUCCUGGUGUAGCGGUGGAAUGCGCAGAUAUCAGGAGGAACACCGAUGGCGAAGGCGGGUCUCUGGGCCAAAACUGACGCUGAGGAGCGAAAGCGUGGGGAGCGAACAGG
This 253-nucleotide ribosomal RNA is filed under the name uncultured bacterium. RNAcentral's name for it is "partial 16S ribosomal RNA". It matches the Rfam family "Bacterial small subunit ribosomal RNA", at positions 524 to 776 of the family's 1533-position model. The record is from RNAcentral.